AGAGUUUGAUCAUGGCUCAGAGCGAACGCUGGCGGCAGGCUUAACACAUGCAAGUCGAGCGGGCCCUUCGGGGUCAGCGGCGGACGGGUGAGUAACGCGUGGGAACGUGCCUUCUGGUUCGGAAUAACCCUGGGAAACUAGGGCUAAUACCGGAUACGCCCUUUUGGGGAAAGGUUUACUGCCGGAAGAUCGGCCCGCGUCUGAUUAGCUAGUUGGUGGGGUAACGGCCUACCAAGGCGACGAUCAGUAGCUGGUCUGAGAGGAUGAUCAGCCACACUGGGACUGAGACACGGCCCAGACUCCUACGGGAGGCAGCAGUGGGGAAUAUUGGACAAUGGGCGCAAGCCUGAUCCAGCCAUGCCGCGUGAGUGAUGAAGGCCUUAGGGUUGUAAAGCUCUUUUAUCCGGGACGAUAAUGACGGUACCGGAGGAAUAAGCCCCGGCUAACUUCGUGCCAGCCGCCGCGGUAAUUC
RNAcentral lists this ribosomal RNA (472 nucleotides) under uncultured bacterium. Its description in RNAcentral is "bacterial SSU rRNA". It matches the Rfam family "Bacterial small subunit ribosomal RNA", at positions 8 to 526 of the family's 1533-position model. The record is from RNAcentral.